UUUGAUCAAUGGAAUUUUUUAUCUCGAAUGAAAUAUUUUCCUUUCAUUAUUUACACAGAUCUUCAGUGGUGUUUUUGUUUUGUAUUUUAUUUUUGCUCGUGUUGUAGGAAGAAUUUGUUGAACAUGCUUCUUUCUGAUUCUAUCUUCCUCUUGUUUUGUUUUUUGAUUUCUUGAACCCAUUAAUGAAGUUGUAUUCCUUACUUAUGUCUUACCAAAUUUCAUUAACUCUUUUCAAAAACAACUAGUAAAUUGAGCUCUUGGUUCCACUUUAUUUGAAUCAUUGACAAGCCAAAUAACUUAUAUUUGUUAAAUGUUAUAAUUUCUUUAGUAGAAUACUCAGGCAUGAGAAGUUCAAAUAUUCAAUUUGCGCAAUCUAUUUAUGGGAAUGACCAAUUACAAGUAAUUUUUUGCCUGAAGUUCUUAAACAUGUAAGUUUUGUAAUAUUGUAUCCUCGUGAAAAAGUUUUGCCUUGUUUCUGACCACUUCACUUUUUUUUAUUCAACUUGUUUCUGAAAACCCACUUGGUUUCAAUAAUGUUAUUCUUUGGUCUAGGUACUAGACCCCAAACAUCAUUCCUCUUAAAUUCAUUUAAUUCUUCUUGCAUUGCAAAAGUCCAUCCAUCAUUUUCAUUUCCAACGAUUAGUGUUUCACUACGACAUGACUUCUACUUCCAUCCAUAUUUUCCUUUUGAUUUAUCUUGGUCUAGUCAAAUUCAUCUUUUGAUGAUGUGCUUGUAUCCUCUGAUUUUUUAAGUUCUUUUGGUUUGUCUGCAUCUGCUUCCUCAGGUUCCAUUAAACCUGCACUAUCAUCAAUUUGCUUUGAAUUUUCAAGCUCAAACUGUGUCAUAUAACAUAAUAUAAAUUAGAUAAUUUAACAAUGAAACAAUACAACCUAAAACACCAAUUUUAUUUCUGGUGGUUUAUGCUUGUUUCUGAUGAAGCAAACUUGUAUUAUGCUUAUGCUAAAAUGUUCAUAUUUGUGAUUCUCCUGGUUCCUCUAAAUUUUUGAGAACCUGCAAAAUACUUAUCUAGCUUUGAUUUUUAAGAUCAAGCUUCUAGUUAUCACAGUAGACAUAAUAUCAUAUAAUAAUUAAAUUUAAAGAAAGAUAUAACCUAUAUUUCUCCAGUUUCACUCUUAAAACCCUUUUAGUUUCAGAUUCUUAAUUUGCAUAUUAUCUAAUUAGAGGGUUUGGAUGAAGGGAUGUGAAUUCCCAUCCAGGUUUGUAGCCUUGAUGAAUUUGAUUGGUGUUUUCAGAGAAGUUUCCUAAUUUUGAUUGUUCAUCUGACAUUUCUAUUUUUGCUGAUGUAUCAGGUUCCUCUGGUAAUUCCUAUUCAUCAUAUGGUUCUUAUUUUUCUGAUAGUUAUGGUUCAUCAACUAGUUUUGAUUCAGAUAGGUAUUGUGCCGACUAGUCCUACUUCCACCAGAGUCAGGUCUUGGAACAAAGACCUUUUUCCCUCUAUAAGUUGCUAGCAUCCACUUACCAAAUGCCAUGGUUGGUGUUUUAACUUGGUUGUUUAGAACAUCUGCAACAUAAACAAUUUUGUCUUUUGGUAACCAAAUUUGGUUGGGUCCUAGUUUGUUAGUCUUGAAAGGUUUUAUGUAUUUCCUUGUAUUUAACAUGGGACAAGAUAAUUUGGAGUGACCUUUCUUAUAUCAAGCAGUACAAAAGACAUUAGAGGGUAUAGGUUGAGGUUCAGUUACAGUUUCUUCAAAUCAUAGAAGCAUAUUUGCUUCUUUCCAUACUAUUAGCAAGAAAAUAUUGAAACACUUUUUCAUGCUUAUCAAAGUUAUAUGUGGUAUUUUCAAUUGAUGUUGAACUAUAAUUACUUUUCAAAGUUAGAUUUUCA
Molecule: long non-coding RNA, 1847 nt
Filed under: Cicer arietinum (chickpea)
Lineage: Eukaryota; Viridiplantae; Streptophyta; Magnoliopsida; Fabales; Fabaceae
Description: long non-coding RNA (CARI_LNC002518)
Source: RNAcentral